GACGAACGCUGGCGGCGUGCCUAACACAUGCAAGUCGAACGGAGAGAUACGAGAGCUUGCUCUUGUAAAUCUUAGUGGCAAACGGGUGAGUAACGCGUAAACAACCUGCCCAACGGAUGGGGACAACAGACGGAAACGACUGCUAAUACCCAAUAGACUCCGGUUUCGCAUGAAACCGACAGGAAAGGUGGCCUCUCGAAGAAGCUACCGCCGCAGGAGGGGUUUGCGUUUGAUUAGUUAGUUGGUGGGGUAACGGCCUACCAAGACGAUGAUCAAUAGCCGGUCUGAGAGGAUGAACGGCCACACUGGAACUGAGACACGGUCCAG
RNAcentral lists this ribosomal RNA (327 nucleotides) under uncultured bacterium. RNAcentral describes it as "bacterial SSU rRNA". It matches the Rfam family "Bacterial small subunit ribosomal RNA", at positions 28 to 334 of the family's 1533-position model. The record is from RNAcentral.